AGCCUGUGAUGCAAAAGGACCCAUGAAACUGAAUUACACUGAAUUAAUUCCAAACAAAUCACCAUCUUUCGGGCUGAGGUU
This 81-nucleotide small nucleolar RNA is filed under the name Oryza sativa (Asian cultivated rice). Lineage: Eukaryota; Viridiplantae; Streptophyta; Magnoliopsida; Poales; Poaceae. The record is from RNAcentral.